AACGCGAAGAACCUUACCUGGACUUGACAUGCAGGUGAUAUGACUAGAGAUAGUCAGUUCUCGCAAGAGACAGCUGCACAGGUGCUGCAUGGCUGUCGUCAGCUCGUGCCGUGAGGUGUUGGGUUAAGUCCCGCAACGAGCGCAACCCUUGUCGUUAGUUGCCAGCGCGUAAUGGCGGGCACUCUAGCGAGACUGCCCGGGUUAACCGGGAGGAAGGUGAGGAUGACGUCAAGUCCGCAUGGCCUUUAUGUCCAGGGCUACACACGUGCUACAAUGGUCGGUACAGAGGGCAGCAAAACCGUGAGGUGGAGCAAAUCGUUAAAAACCGGCCCCAGUUCGGAUUGUAGUCUGCAACUCGACUACAUGAAGAUGGAAUUGCUAGUAAUGGCGGGUCAGCAACACCGCCGUGAAUACGUUCCCGGGCCUUGUACACACCGACGCGUA
RNAcentral lists this ribosomal RNA (444 nucleotides) under uncultured bacterium. Its description in RNAcentral is "bacterial SSU rRNA". It matches the Rfam family "Bacterial small subunit ribosomal RNA", at positions 958 to 1399 of the family's 1533-position model. The record is from RNAcentral.